Podarcis lilfordi (Lilford's wall lizard) is the source of this 66-nucleotide non-coding RNA. The record is from the annotation of a GenBank genome assembly. Lineage: Eukaryota; Metazoa; Chordata; Lepidosauria; Squamata; Lacertidae.
AUUCUCAGUCGGUAGAGCAUGAAACUCUUAAUUUCAGGGUCGUGGGUUCGAGUUCCAUGUGGGACA